RNAcentral lists this ribosomal RNA (323 nucleotides) under uncultured bacterium. Its description in RNAcentral is "bacterial SSU rRNA". It matches the Rfam family "Bacterial small subunit ribosomal RNA", at positions 30 to 351 of the family's 1533-position model. The record is from RNAcentral.
AUUGAACGCUGGCGGCAUGCCUUACACAUGCAAGUCGAACGGCAGCACGGGAGCUUGCUCCUGGUGGCGAGUGGCGAACGGGUGAGUAAUACAUCGGAACGUACCCUGAAGUGGGGGAUAACGUAGCGAAAGUUACGCUAAUACCGCAUAUUCUGUGAGCAGGAAAGAGGGGGAUCGCAAGACCUCUUGCUUUAGGAGCGGCCGAUGUCGGAUUAGCUAGUUGGUGAGGUAAAGGCUCACCAAGGCGACGAUCCGUAGCGGGUCUGAGAGGAUGAUCCGCCACACUGGGACUGAGACACGGUCCAGACUCCUACGGGAGGCAG